AUUGAACGCUGGCGGCAGGCUUAACACAUGCAAGUCGAGCGGAUGAAGGGAGCUUGUUCCUGGAUUCAGCGGCGGACGGGAGAGUAAUGCCUAGGAAUAUGCCUCGUAGUGUGGGAUAACGUCCGAAAACGGGCGCUAAUACCGCAUACGUCCUGAGGGAGAAUGUGGGGGAUCUUCGGACCUCACGCUAUCAGAUGACCCUUGGUCGGAUUAGCUAGUUGGUGGGGUAAAGGCCUACCAAGGCGAAGAUCCGUAACCGGGCGGAGGGGAUGGACCGUCAGAAUGGGAAUGGGAACCGGCCCAGACGCCUACGGGAGGGAGCAGUGGGGAAUUUUUGGAGAGGGAGGAAAGGCUGACGGAGCAAAGCCGGGGGGUGGGAGAAGGGCUUUGGGUUGUAAAGCUCGGUUAAUCGGGAAGAAAGGGCUUUUUGCGAAUAGUGUGAAGGAUUGACGGUACCAAAAGAGAAAGCCACGGCUAACUACGUG
This 485-nucleotide ribosomal RNA is filed under the name uncultured bacterium. Its description in RNAcentral is "partial 16S ribosomal RNA". It matches the Rfam family "Bacterial small subunit ribosomal RNA", at positions 29 to 507 of the family's 1533-position model. The record is from RNAcentral.